UGUUCUUUGUCGAACGAUUUGAUCGUUGUGGUGCAAGUGUUUAACGUAUCAUUUUCGUUGGAAUUCGACAUAAAAUGAGAGGCAGCUGCACUCGAGUUUGCCACCGAUGCUGGACUUCUUCCAAGGGAGGAUGAGGCACCACCUUGCCCCAAGUGCCAGGUACCGAUGACAAGCAACAAGAGAAGAGAAUCAAAAAUUGGCUGGAGAUGGAUGUGCUCGUUACAAUGUUAUGUUGUUAGUGCAUAACUGAGUAGCAUAGUGAUCAGCAAGUGACUCAGAUUCGGUGUAGGCAAUUUAGGGGCGGAAUGGUUGUGUAGCAUCUCGUAAGCUUAUUAGUGGCUUUCCAGAUGUUAUUAUCUUCUGGCGAGAGUGAAGACAGAGUCAGAACCGAUUCACUAAACCUCUAGACUGACCAAGGCAACCACCGUGGGCGAAAGACGUUCCGUCAUGAGCUCCCAACCCGAUGAAGUUAACACCGCGAAGCCGGAAGCAAUGGCCGGCAACCCCGUUCUUAAUGCGAUGGAUACAUCAUCACCGCAUCUCUCAACAAUUUCAUCAUCAUCUUCAGCCGUUCCUGAAUCUCUUUCUAGUAUUCCUGUUCCGGAUCCCAAAUUCGUUCCGGUUCCUGAUCCAGACACCCUCAUCAUCGAGCUCAAGCAAUUAUACCAGCUGAAAGCCAGAUUCACUGACUUGGAACAGACACUUGCCAGAAGCAAGAGAUCCACUCCUUUGGCUAACUUUAAUCUGAAGCAAGUACAGCAGGAAAGCCAGGAGGAAGAAUGUAUAGAGCAGCCCUCUCCUGUCAUUAGCCAGGAUGUCAUUUCCAGCCUAUCACUUCCAGAAGCUCCAAAUGUGAGUGAGCCCUCUCCGACUCCUCCAACAAGCAUCAAGUCAGGUGAAAGAAAGAAACGCAAAAGGGAGGACAGUGAAACACAGGACUUCCUUUCCACUUUUCAAAGUGCAGGAAGCAAAAAAAAAAAAAAAAAA
RNAcentral lists this unclassified non-coding RNA (987 nucleotides) under Stegodyphus dumicola. RNAcentral's name for it is "uncharacterized LOC118204798, transcript variant X1". The record is from RNAcentral. Lineage: Eukaryota; Metazoa; Arthropoda; Arachnida; Araneae; Eresidae.